Molecule: long non-coding RNA, 1284 nt
Organism: Fundulus heteroclitus (mummichog)
Lineage: Eukaryota; Metazoa; Chordata; Actinopteri; Cyprinodontiformes; Fundulidae
Exons: 3
Source: RefSeq, a predicted model, not a curated record
AACAUCCUUAUUAAUACUGUGAUAAUAGUGACAGCAAAGCUCUUCUUAGGCUCUACUGUCUUAAGUACAAACAACAUUAUAAAUAGAUUGACUGAUUGUUUUUUACCUUGAUCCUGUGUCCCUGUUUCCGUUUAUGAACGGACAAUUGAUUCUCCGUAAAGUUCUGAUAUGAGGCUCUUAAAGCUGCUGUAGAUCGGUUUAUUUAAUAAUAACGUUUCGUCUUUGAUCACGCUGAGCUGUUGCUUUACUGCGAGACAUUUCAGAGGGUCAGGCUCGGUCCGGCAUUAUUUAAAACUGUUUUAUUAGAUGCCAUCUGGCUUUCUGAUAGUUCUGCAUUACUGCUGGUAGUUAAUCUGUUAAUGUCUGCUCAUCGCGCCCGUUGAAGGGGUUUUAUUUAGGCUGAAAAAGGAUCGUUAAUACACUAUCAGGAUGGACGCUUGGUGUUUAUAACCUUGUUUUAUCAUGACCAAAUGGUUUUUGAUCUUUUUCUAAUAGUACAUUUAAGAGUGUAAAAUCAGAUGUACAAAAUAUUUCUGACGUACGUUUGAAGGCCAGGAAGAGGAAAACUGCAGCAAUGACCAGCAAAAUGCUGAGUGAGAGCGAGAGGACCGGAGCGUUGAUCUGCAGAGAGAGUGAAGGCAGAGGAUCCUCCACCUGAAAGACAGAACAUGACUGCCGUCACACCUCAGGCCGUCAACGUCGACCCGGCAGCAGUACGGCCCGCUGUCCGUCCGCCUCACGUUCACGAUGUCCAGGUCCAUCUGUCCGUCCAGGACGUCCCCCGUAAGACGGUAUCUGUCGUCAGCCUGCAGCAUCAAGGAGACGGACCGACUGCAGGCAGGACAGUCCAGCUCUGACACUGUGGGUCCAUAGAGACGGAGGUCUGAGUCCUGCUGGGUGUCCACAGAGCUCCCAGGAGAGGACGACACCUGGAUGGACCAAUACGUCUCUCCAGAACUCCAGUUUUCUCCUCUGAAGGUCAACCACUCACACUUUCCAUGGCAGUCAGCGACCUUUAACCCUUCACCAGCCUGAAACACGUUCUGCCGUCUGUCUGGACGGAGCUUGUCUCCUGAGAACGUAGCUGCGGCUCUGAACAGAGGUCCGAUGUUACUUCAUCCCUGGGGGAGGUCCUCAGACUCCCAGCAGGUUUUCUAUGUUCUCUACAUGAUAAAUGAAACACGUUUUAUCAUGCAGAACUGUUUCCCAGCUACAGUUAAUUUGUUUUUAAUCCCAUUUUCCAGAAAUGGAGUUUGAUAGAAUUCCAAAUAAUAUUUUAACUAU